RNAcentral lists this long non-coding RNA (533 nucleotides) under Bos taurus (domestic cattle). Its description in RNAcentral is "long non-coding RNA NONBTAT009389". The stretch from base 102 to 228 matches the Rfam family "Small nucleolar RNA SNORA25". The record is from RNAcentral. Lineage: Eukaryota; Metazoa; Chordata; Mammalia; Artiodactyla; Bovidae.
CAAAGGUUUGAAAAGAAACUAUCUCUAUAUUGUAAUAUUAAGAAAGAUAUCUUAGAAAAGACAACAUUGGCAACUCAUGAAAGAUUUCAUUAAUGUUGCACAGGUCAUUUCAAAGAGGGCUUAUGAGACCAAAACCGGGAGCUCUUAAUGCUGUGACCAAAGAUUGAAGUUCUCCAUAGAAUAUUACGGUCACUCAAAAGUGCUAUGUUUUCCUAAGGAGAUAAGAUUUAACCACUCAUAUACAGGACUGGUGAUAUACGAAAGUAAAAAUAAAUGUCCCCCAAGUUUAACAACAAUAAAAAUUAAUGUUGCAUAUUAAUUUUGAUUGAAUUCUUAUUGAAUGCCAUACUUGUCAUAGGCUAGAUAUAACUAUUCAAAUUUAAAGUUUAUAUACAACAAAAGAUACACGAUAAUACGUAACUGACAAAUUAGAAGACAAAUUAGAAAUUAGAAGAUACCUGCAUAAAUCCUAAUGCUGAAGCACGCAUUCUUAAAAUUCCUUAAUUUCAAGUGGAAAAAGGACUAACAACAUA